CAAAUACUCCCUCCGUCCGGAAAUACUUGUCCUAAAAAUAUAUAAAAUAGAUGUAUUUAUAACUAAAAUAAGUCUAAUUAUAUUUAUUUUUAAGACAAGUAUUUCCGAACGAAGCGAGUAGGAG
Molecule: non-coding RNA, 124 nt
Organism: Hordeum vulgare subsp. vulgare (domesticated barley)
Lineage: Eukaryota; Viridiplantae; Streptophyta; Magnoliopsida; Poales; Poaceae
Source: Rfam